GGUUGUGGCUCAGUGGUAGAGCGCUCACCUAGCGCUUUUCGAGGCCCUGGGUUCGAUCCUCAGCACCA
This 68-nucleotide transfer RNA is filed under the name Marmota monax (woodchuck). RNAcentral's name for it is "tRNA.Ala". The record is from RNAcentral. Lineage: Eukaryota; Metazoa; Chordata; Mammalia; Rodentia; Sciuridae.